RNAcentral lists this ribosomal RNA (654 nucleotides) under Sordariomycetes sp. RNAcentral describes it as "eukaryotic LSU rRNA". The stretch from base 90 to 654 matches the Rfam family "Eukaryotic large subunit ribosomal RNA", at positions 1 to 576 of the family's 3401-position model. Lineage: Eukaryota; Fungi; Ascomycota; Sordariomycetes. The record is from RNAcentral.
AGCUAGGUCGUGCUCUAAGCGUAGUAACCAAAUUCUCGCUUCUGAAGCCGGCCCGGGUCCUGCCGUAAAACCCCCUAUAUUUUUCUGGUUGACCUCGGAUCAGGUAGGAAUACCCGCUGAACUUAAGCAUAUCAAUAAGCGGAGGAAAAGAAACCAACAGGGAUUGCCCUAGUAACGGCGAGUGAAGCGGCAACAGCUCAAAUUUGAAAUCUGGCCUUCGGGUCCGAGUUGUAAUUUGCAGAGGAUGCUUUUGGCGCGGUGCCUUCCGAGUUCCCUGGAACGGGACGCCUUAGAGGGUGAGAGCCCCGUACGGUUGGACACCAAACCUCUGUAAAGCUCCUUCGACGAGUCGAGUAGUUUGGGAAUGCUGCUCUAAAUGGGAGGUAAAUUUCUUCUAAAGCUAAAUACCGGCCAGAGACCGAUAGCGCACAAGUAGAGUGAUCGAAAGAUGAAAAGCACUUUGAAAAGAGGGUUAAAUAGCACGUGAAAUUGUUGAAAGGGAAGCGUUUACGGCCAGACCUUUUCCUGGCGGAUCAUCUGGUGUUCUCACCAGUGCACUUCGCCAGGUUUAGGCCAGCAUCGGCUUCUGUAGGGGGAUAAAAGCAGUGGGAAAGUAGCUCCCUCGGGAGUGUUAUAGCCCUAAGCAUAAUACCC